ACGCACGCUGGCGGCGUGCCUCAUACCUGCCAGUAGAACGCUGAAGAGAGGAGCUUGCUCUUCUUGGAUGAGUUGCGAACGGGUGAGUAACGCGUAGGUAACCUGCCUUGUAGCGGGGGAUAACUAUUGGAAACGAUAGCUAAUACCGCAUAACAAUGGAUGACACAUGUCAUUUAUUUGAAAGGGGCAAUUGCUCCACUACAAGAUGGACCUGCGUUGUAUUAGCUAGUAGGUGAGGUAAUGGCUCACCUAGGCGACGAUACAUAGCCGACCUGAGAGGGUGAUCGGCCACACUGGGACUGAGACACGGCCCAGACUCCUACGGGAGGCAGCAGUAGGGAAUCUUCGGCAAUGGGGGCAACCCUGACCGAGCAACGCCGCGUGAGUGAAGAAGGUUUUCGGAUCGUAAAGCUCUGUUGUAAGUCAAGAACGGGUGUGAGAGUGGAAAGUUCACACUGUGACGGUAGCUUACCAGAAAGGGACGGCUAACUACGUG
This 496-nucleotide ribosomal RNA is filed under the name uncultured bacterium. RNAcentral's name for it is "partial 16S ribosomal RNA". It matches the Rfam family "Bacterial small subunit ribosomal RNA", at positions 29 to 507 of the family's 1533-position model. The record is from RNAcentral.